Long non-coding RNA from Felis catus (domestic cat), 607 nucleotides. RefSeq lists it as uncharacterized. Lineage: Eukaryota; Metazoa; Chordata; Mammalia; Carnivora; Felidae. The transcript is spliced from 3 exons. The record is from RefSeq and is a predicted model, not a curated record.
GACCUGCAAAAUAAACAGUCAUGUGUCGCUCUAUGAUAGAAAACAAACACAGCCCUCUUAUUUGUGCGCACGCUCCCAUUAUUUAAGUCUUGGUGAAACUGUGAAAUAUUCAGAAAGGGAUGGUAUGAGGAGUGCCAUGUGGUAAAUCGUGCACAAUUUUAGCAGCAAGAGCAGCAAGUUCCCACCAAAGGCAGAACAUCCUUCCUCUGAGAGAGUCUUGCUAGUCACCAUCCGAGCUUUAAUAGGAUCAAUGCCUGGAAGAAUGACAGAAGGAAAAUGAGAAACAGAGAAAACGAUGUGAAGACCAUGAAGUGACAGAAGUCAGUGUUGAACUGGCCAAGGUUUUUUUAAACAUCUCCUAAGAAGGCGUUGGUUCACACCAAGCAAGGAGAGUAGAAGAUGGUCCUUGUUAAGAUGAAAAAUGCAACACGAAUUCUGUCAUCAACAAAAUAAAAUCAGCGUUAACCAUGAAAGCAGAGUUUACAUGAAUAAUCCAAAUGCUUGAUUUAUCUGUGUAGAUUACUACAAAUUUGGUUGGACAGUUUGUCUUCCCUGCCCUCGCUCCUCAAACCCCCAGUAACAGACCUGAAAGACCUGAAACCGUUUC